Aegilops tauschii subsp. strangulata is the source of this 491-nucleotide long non-coding RNA. RefSeq lists it as uncharacterized. The record is from RefSeq and is a predicted model, not a curated record. NCBI's taxonomy places the organism in Eukaryota, Viridiplantae, Streptophyta, Magnoliopsida, Poales, Poaceae.
AAACAAGAUCAAGCUGUCAAUUUUGAAUUAAAGAAGGAUCAUUUGCAAAGAAGCUUGCGAGGAGUUGUCAAAAUUUUGAUUAUAAUGCAGCAUCUUGGUGGAGGCUCUAUGGAACUGAAGCACCAGCUCUACAAAGGAUGGCUGUGAGAAUCCUCUCAUUGACAUCAAGUUCUUCAGUCUGUGAAAGGAAUUGGAGUACCUUCGAAAAUAUACAUACGAAGAAAAGAAAUAGGCUAACUACAGAACGUCUAAACUCUCUUGUGUUCAUAGAAUUCAACUCGAGAAUGAUGGCCAAGAAACAAAUGAUCAAGGAGAAGAAGAUCACUGAUGUCCUCUUAUCCGCUGAAACUACUAAAGCUCAAGGUUUUCUUUUUGAGGGCGGAGAUGAUUAUGCAGAAGCCUUAUGUAUGGAUAAAGAUGAGGAGGAGAUGAAUAGUACAGGGAUGCCAGGGAGUGGCAUUGGAGAAGCAAUGGGAGGCGAUGAACUGCUC